UAGGGAAUCUUCCACAAUGGACGCAAGUCUGAUGGAGCAACGCCGCGUGAGUGAAGAAGGUCUUCGGAUCGUAAAAGCUCUGUUGUUGGUGAAGAAGGAUAGAGGCAGUAACUGGUCUUUAUUUGACGGUAAUCAACCAGAAAGUCACGGCUAACUACGUGCCAGCAGCCGCGGUAAUACGUAGGUGGCAAGCGUUGUCCGGAUUUAUUGGGCGUAAAGCGAGCGCAGGCGGAAUGAUAAGUCUGAUGUGAAAGCCCACGGCUCAACCGUGG
RNAcentral lists this ribosomal RNA (272 nucleotides) under uncultured bacterium. RNAcentral describes it as "partial 16S ribosomal RNA". It matches the Rfam family "Bacterial small subunit ribosomal RNA", at positions 355 to 618 of the family's 1533-position model. The record is from RNAcentral.